GACGAACCGUACGAACGUUAUUCGGAAUCACUGGGCUUAAAGGGUGCGUAGGCGGCGCGACAAGUUGGGUGUGAAAUCCCUCGGCUCAACCGAGGAACUGCGCCCAAAACUGUCGUGCUCGAGGGAGACAGAGGUGAGCGGAACUUAGGGUGGAGCGGUGAAGUGCGUUGAUAUCCUAAGGAACACCGGUGGCGAAAGCGGCUCACUGGGUCUCUUCUGACGCUGAGGCACGAAAGCUAGGGUAGCGAACGGG
RNAcentral lists this ribosomal RNA (253 nucleotides) under uncultured bacterium. RNAcentral's name for it is "partial 16S ribosomal RNA". It matches the Rfam family "Bacterial small subunit ribosomal RNA", at positions 524 to 776 of the family's 1533-position model. The record is from RNAcentral.